ACUGGCGGGCGUAGCGAGCCGCUGUUACCCGUGCGGGGGUCGGCUCGGUGGAGGCAUCAGUGGUGCCGCUGUAGUGUGGGGUGUUAGCGGCCAAACGCCCCACUGGGAUCGCAGCCCCCGGCGAUCCCCGCGCGGAGGCGGGAGGAUCGCUGGAGAUGCUGCGGCGCGCAACGCCCCAGGCUGGAAACAGAGCAGGGAAAAGUGCCCGCUGCGUUCCGCGGUGGGACAACGGGGGGCCGCGCCCGGGCUGCGGCGGCCCGCGGCGGCCAACGCCGAGCUUU
Molecule: non-coding RNA, 281 nt
Organism: Eimeria tenella
Lineage: Eukaryota; Apicomplexa; Conoidasida; Eucoccidiorida; Eimeriidae
Source: Rfam